Molecule: signal recognition particle RNA, 155 nt
Filed under: Gorilla gorilla gorilla (western lowland gorilla)
Lineage: Eukaryota; Metazoa; Chordata; Mammalia; Primates; Hominidae
Description: Metazoan signal recognition particle RNA
Rfam family: Metazoan signal recognition particle RNA
About the family: The signal recognition particle (SRP) is a universally conserved ribonucleoprotein. It is involved in the co-translational targeting of proteins to membranes.
Source: Rfam by way of RNAcentral
UGCCGACCGGGUUUCUGCAUUAAGUUCGGCAUCAAAACGGUGACCUGGGAGUAGAGGGGCCACCAGGUUGCCUAAGGAUGGGUGAACUGGCCCAAGUCAGAAAUGAAGCGGGUCAGAACUCCCCUGCCGGGCAGUAGUGGAACUGAGCUUGGGCA